AGUCGAGCGGUAGAGAGAAGCUUGCUUCUCUUGAGAGCGGCGGACGGGUGAGUAAUGCCUAGGAAUCUGCCUGGUAGUGGGGGAUAACGUUCGGAAACGGACGCUAAUACCGCAUACGUCCUACGGGAGAAAGCAGGGGACCUUCGGGCCUUGCGCUAUCAGAUGAGCCUAGGUCGGAUUAGCUAGUUGGUGGGGUAAUGGCUCACCAAGGCGACGAUCCGUAACUGGUCUGAGAGGAUGAUCAGUCACACUGGAACUGAGACACGGUCCAGACUCCUACGGGAGGCAGCAGUGGGGAAUAUUGGACAAUGGGCGAAAGCCUGAUCCAGCCAUGCCGCGUGUGUGAAGAAGGUCUUCGGAUUGUAAAGCACUUUAAGUUGGGAGGAAGG
This 389-nucleotide ribosomal RNA is filed under the name uncultured Pseudomonas sp. RNAcentral describes it as "bacterial SSU rRNA". It matches the Rfam family "Bacterial small subunit ribosomal RNA", at positions 60 to 451 of the family's 1533-position model. Lineage: Bacteria; Pseudomonadati; Pseudomonadota; Gammaproteobacteria; Pseudomonadales; Pseudomonadaceae. The record is from RNAcentral.